This 394-nucleotide ribosomal RNA is filed under the name uncultured bacterium. RNAcentral's name for it is "partial 16S ribosomal RNA". It matches the Rfam family "Bacterial small subunit ribosomal RNA", at positions 338 to 730 of the family's 1533-position model. The record is from RNAcentral.
CCUACGGGUGGCAGCAGUGAGGAAUAUUGGUCAAUGGCCGGAAGGCUGAACCAGCCAAGCCGCGUGAGGGAGGAAGGCGCAGUGGGUCGUAGACCUCUUUUGCCAGGGGACAAAAGGCCGGACUCGUCCGGUCCUGAGAGUGACCGGAGAAAAAGCAUCGGCUAACCCCGUGCCAGCAGCCGCGUUAAUACGUAGGAUGCGAGCGUUAUCCGUAUUUCUUGGGUUCAAAGGGUUCGUAGGCGGGUCAUAACGCCGGCGGUAAACUCGGGGGGCUCAACCCCGUCUAGCCGUGGAAACUGGGUGCCUUGAGUGCGCCGGAGGUAUGCGGAAUGCGUGGUGUAGCGGUGAAAUGCAUAGAUAUCGCGCAGAACCCCGAUUGCGAAGGCAGCUUGCC